RNAcentral lists this ribosomal RNA (241 nucleotides) under uncultured bacterium. Its description in RNAcentral is "partial 16S ribosomal RNA". It matches the Rfam family "Bacterial small subunit ribosomal RNA", at positions 524 to 761 of the family's 1533-position model. The record is from RNAcentral.
UACAGAGGGGGCAAGCGUUGUUCGGAAUUACUGGGCGUAAAGGGCGCGUAGGCGGCCCGCUAAGUCGAACGUGAAAUCCCCAGGCUUAACCUGGGAACUGCGUCCGAUACUGGUGGGCUUGAAUCCGGGAGAGGGAUGUGGAAUUCCAGGUGUAGCGGUGAAAUGCGUAGAUAUCUGGAGGAACACCGGUGGCGAAGGCGGCAUCCUGGACCGGUAUUGACGGACUGAGGCGGCGAAAAGC